GGGGCAAUGGUCUAGGGGUAUGAUGCUUCCUUCGCAAGGUUAACUACGUUGAUCUGCACAACGUGUGAUUGGAAGAGGUCCGGGGUUCAAUUCCCCGUUGCUCCA
Emericellopsis atlantica is the source of this 105-nucleotide non-coding RNA. The record is from the annotation of a RefSeq genome assembly. Lineage: Eukaryota; Fungi; Ascomycota; Sordariomycetes; Hypocreales; Bionectriaceae.